Molecule: ribosomal RNA, 601 nt
Filed under: uncultured bacterium
Lineage: Bacteria
Description: bacterial SSU rRNA
Rfam family: Bacterial small subunit ribosomal RNA (bases 1-525)
Source: RNAcentral
CCUACGGGAGGCAGCAGUGGGGAAUAUUGCACAAUGGGCGCAAGCCUGAUGCAGCGACGCCGCGUGAGGGAUGACGGCCUUCGGGUUGUAAACCUCUUUCAGCAGGGACGAAGCGCAAGUGACGGUACCUGCAGAAGAAGCACCGGCCAACUACGUGCCAGCAGCCGCGGUAAUACGUAGGGUGCAAGCGUUGUCCGGAAUUACUGGGCGUAAAGAGCUCGUAGGCGGUUUGUCGCGUCGUCUGUGAAAACCCAGCAGCUCAACUGUUGGCUUGCAGGCGAUACGGGCAGACUUGAGUAUUUCAGGGGAGACUGGAAUUCCUGGUGUAGCGGUGAAAUGCGCAGAUAUCAGGAGGAACACCGGUGGCGAAGGCGGGUCUCUGGGAAAUAACUGACGCUGAGGAGCGAAAGCGUGGGUAGCGAACAGGAUUAGAUACCCUGGUAGUCCACGCCGUAAACGGUGGGCGCUAGGUGUGGGUUUCCUUCCACGGGAUCCGUGCCGUAGCUAACGCAUUAAGCGCCCGCUGGGGAGACGCGCGAGACGUAACGUACAAUUAGAGUAGUUAGCGUGNGACGNGCGACGGACGACGACGAGGAGGAGG